Molecule: non-coding RNA, 814 nt
Organism: Macaca mulatta (Rhesus monkey)
Lineage: Eukaryota; Metazoa; Chordata; Mammalia; Primates; Cercopithecidae
Source: RefSeq, a predicted model, not a curated record
UUCUACGGGGAGAUUUGGUACAUCCCCAGAAGCUGUCUUGGGUUCAGAAAACAGUCUUCAGACCUAGAAAGGACUUGAGGAGUCCCAGAGAGGAGCUGCAUGGUUUGAACCAUUUGAUUCUCACAACAGAAUAAGUAAAAACAAUUUUAACCAUGAAACCAUGCAGAUGUUCAUAUUCUGGAUAGGGUAAGGUCAAUGCCAUUGUCAGAGGAAAAACUUUUGGCCAUCACAGGAUGAGAGAGAAAGUUGAGUUGUAAAGAAUACUCCAAUGCCAUUUAAGGGAACAUGUUCUUCUGCCCCUAUUCUUUGGAACAUUUAGGGCUAAUUUCUUAGUUUUUGACAUCACAAAAAUUUCAAACUAUUUUGUUUCAAGAGCCAUUUCAAACAAUUGACUACAAUUUCAGAGCAAUUACAUGAGAGUAUUACCAAUAGAAUUUUUAAGUUACCCAUAGUCCUGUUAUCUCUAACAAUUAUGUUCAUGCUUGCAUGUUCUCUUUUCAUCUUUACUGUGUGCAUACUUUCUUAGUAAUGACGUGUAGACAUUUUUUAAGCAGGAAUAAUUCUCGAGAUAAUUUUGUAUGUUUUCUUUUUUCUUUUUAAGGUGUGUAUUGGGUGGAGGAGCAUUAUGCAUGAAACUUCUCACAAAACAGGGAUGAAGCAGUGCCUACUCGAUAAUUGGUCAUUGUUCAAAGAAAUGCCUCCUGACUCAAAGGCAAAGCCAGAGUGCAGCUUGGAGCAAAGAAGGGUAGGAGGAAGGGAGUCACCAACAAUACUAAGCAGUCUAGUCUCCUGUGUAUAAAUGAGUAAGUUUGGG